Molecule: RNA transcript, 8975 nt
Organism: Mirounga angustirostris (Northern elephant seal)
Lineage: Eukaryota; Metazoa; Chordata; Mammalia; Carnivora; Phocidae
Gene: RP9
Gene name: RP9 pre-mRNA splicing factor
Exons: 9
Source: RefSeq, a predicted model, not a curated record
GGGGCGCUGCGGGGCCGGCCGGCCGCGGCGCGGAGGAAGUGCCGUCUUCCCAACGCCUCAGCCGCCUCAGGCACGCCGCGGGGGCCGCCUCAGCCGCGCGGGCCGCGAUGUCUUCCCGGCCGCGGCGCGACGACGCGGGGGCCGGGGGCGUGCGGCGGCCGCGGGAGCCGGCCGAGCAGGAGCUGCAGCGGCGCCGGGAGCAGAAGCGGCGGCGGCACGACGCGCAGCAGCUGCAGCAGCUCAAGCACCUGGAGUCCUUUUAUGAAAAACCUCCUCCUGGGCUUAUCAAGGAAGAUGAGACUAAGCCAGAAGACUGUAUACCAGAUGUACCAGGCAACGAACAUGCCAGGGAAUUUCUGGCUCACGCACCAACGAAAGGACUCUGGAUGCCACUGGGGAAAGAAGUCAAAGUUAUGCAGUGUGAGCACGGGAGAGUCGCAAGUUGGCGUUGUAAACGGUAUGGUCACCGAACAGGCGACAAAGAAUGCCCUUUCUUUAUCAAAGGCAACCAAAAGUUAGAACAGUUCAGAGUAGCACAUGAAGAUCCCAUGUAUGACAUCAUACGAGAGAAUAAAAGACAUGAAAAGGAUGUAAGGAUACAGCAGUUGAAACAGUUACUGGAGGAUUCUACCUCCGAUGAGGAUGGAAGCAGCUCCAGUUCCUCAGAAUGUAAAGAGAAACACAAGAAAAAGAAGAAGAAAGAAAAGCAUAAGAAAAGGAAGAAAGAAAAGAAGAAGAAGAAGAAACGAAAGCAUAAGUCUUCCAAGUCGAAUGAGAGUUCAGACUCGGACUGACAACAACUUGACUUGUUCAACAUUCUCUUCUCCCAAAUCAGACACUGUGGCCAAAGACCAGAGGAUGUGGAAUCGGGGAGGACUAGGAGAGAGCCGCCUAGAGAGCAGGGUAUUUGGUGUCACGUGUGUGAAUUCUCACCUGCCUUCCAGCAAAGAUGUGAUCCCAGGAGGGCCAAUCUCCACCUGUGCCCUGGACCCCAACUCUCAGCCAGCAGUGGAGGGCAUUGAUUAAGAGCACUGGCUCUGGAGGAUCCACACUGCCUGGUUUUGAAAUCCAGCUGCACCAUUCGUGAGCUAUCAGAUUGUGCAAGUUGCCUGACCUCUCUGUGCUGCCAUUUCCUUGACAGAUAAUAUUUACCUCAUAGAAUCAUCGAGAAUUAAGUGUCCUGAUAGUUGUAAAACAUCUAGAACACAGUUUGGAACAUUUCAAUUGCUAAAUGAACGUUAGUUGCUCCUGCUCUUACUUAUGCUAUCAUCAUUAUCUGUUCCUGCUUCCUCAGGGAUCUUCCUCCUUUCAUUAUCCUACUGCAUUCUCUGUUGCCACUGGCAUUUAAAAACUGUUUUGAAAUUAUAAAAGUAGGGGCACCUGGCUGGCUGAGUCAGUAGAACAUGCAACUCUUGAUCCCAGGGUUGUGAGUUCAAGCCCCAUGUUGGGCAUGGAGCCUUCUUAAAAAAAAUUUUUGUUUCAGUAAAAUUUUAAAAUACAUGAUCAUAAAAAGUUCCCAAUUCAGAGCAAUUACAGAGUAAAAAGUGAAAGGAAAAUCUACUUUAAAUGGUUUUAUAGAGCCGUCAAGAUCUUUUAAAAAAUACAUUACCAGUUUUUUUAAUUAGUUUGACAUAACUGAAAAACACUAUGAAUACUAUUCUAUGACUUCAUCUCCCUUACUCUAUCUUGGCAGUCUUACUGCUUACUACAAGCUUUAAAUGGCCACAAAAUCCUUGGUGGGAAUGUGCUACUUAACCAUUUAACCAUUCUUCUUUGUGCAAUUCAGUUGUUUCUUAUUUAUCCUUCUAUGGAAUGGUGAUUUAUGAAAAAUAUGUAUGGGGUUGGUUGUUGUGGAGGGAGAACGUUCUCUGCCCUUCAAGGUCCUUCUGGCUGGACUAAGAAUCAAAUUGACAUGAAACAGAAUAACAAGAGAAAAUCAAAGUUUCCUACGUAUGAAAUUCCAAAGACAGUGAAGCAAUAAGACGCUUAUAUGAGCUAAGGACAGGAGUAGGGGACUGAGCAAGACAUUAGCAGGGAGAGGAGAGAUGCUUGGAAAACAAAGGCUGCCCUAUUAUGCAAAUAAGUAUCUUAGAUAAAGAGGAAUCUGUUAAUAGCGCUCUUCCUGGUACAGGCAGGCAGUUGAGGGGGAGAUAAAGAGCUUUUCCUCAAUCGGUUGGGUUUUUAUUGCUUUUAACUCAACAUUCAUGUCAAAGUGACCCAUCUGAAGCAACCUGCCCUUAGCCCCCUACAUGGUCAUUCAGAUGACCAAAAUAUAUUUCUCGUAUACGUUUGGUCUUUAUCCACAGUUUCUGGAUCACAUCUCCCCAAAACACUUGGAAUUUCAUGACUGAGGAGAGCAAUGGAAGAAUUUUUUUUUUUUUUAAUAUUUGGUCUCCUGUUCCUGGUUCCUGAAAUCACUUCAGAGCCAUAAAGGCAAAAUGGGUGUUUUGUUACUCAUAACAAGCCCCUUUCCACCACAACUGGGUUUAUGUUAAUGAGGUGAAUUUUGGAAAACACCUAAGGAUGUAUAACAUCAGGAAUUUUCAGUCCCACACCCCUGAUUUCAGGGGAGGGUAAAAGGGCAGGAGAGUGAAUGAAUCACCAAUAGGCAAUCAUGCCCAUGUAAUAUGGAGCCUCUAGUAUAUUUGGAGAGCUUCCAGAAGGGUGAACACAUGGAAGUCUUGGAAGAGUGGCACACCAGAACAGGGCAUAGAAGCUCCUCACCCCUCCGCACAUACAAGCAGCUGUUAUGUCUGGCUGUUCCUGAGUUUUACUUUUAUAGUAAGUAAAAUGUGUGUAUUCUCUGAGCUGCUCUAAGCAAAUUAAUCAAACCCAAAGCAGGGGGCAUUGGAACAUUCAACCUAGUCUAUCAGAAUCAUACAUAAGUGAUAACCUGGGCUUUUGAGUGGCAUUUGAAGAGGGGUGGGGCAAUCUUGUAGGACUGAGCCCCUUACCUGUGGAAUUUGAUACUCUCUCCAGGUAUUUAGUAUCAGAAUUAAGUUAAAUUGUAGGACACCCUGCUGGUGUCCUGAGAAUUCCCACAUACACGUUGGAAUUGGUUCCAAAAUCUUCCAUCUUCCCACAAACACUGUAAUGAAAACCUAUGAGUAAAUAUCUUAGUGUACAUGUGUGCGUAUUUCAAAAGAAUAGCUCUUUAAUAGUGGAAUUACAUAUUUUAAUUUUCACAUAUACUACCAAAUUGCCCUCCAAGAAAGUCUGUAUCAAUUUUCACAACCUCUUACCUUGUUUAAAGGGGUCCAUUUCCCUGCCCAAGAGCAACUAAUAACCUCAAGAUUCUUUCAUCCCUUUAAAAAACAAAAUCCUCCCUUGAUCCCGUAUCUGUCUAGCUCUUUCCUCUCCUUUACAGCAGGAAUUUUGUUUUGUUUUGGGUUUUUUCUUUUAAGAUUUUUUUUUAAAGAUUUUUUUGGUGGGGGGAAUGAGUCGGGGGCGGGGGGCAGAGGGAGAGAACCUUCAAGCAGACUUCCUGCCAAGCGUGGAGCCCGACUUGGGGCUCAAUCCCAUGAGUCACAAGAUCAUGACCUGAGGAAAAACCAAGCAUCAGACACUCAACCCACUAAGCUACCCAGGAGUCCCUUACAGAUUUUAUUUUUAAAGAUUUUUUUUUUUUAUUUGACAGAGAGAGACACAGCGAGAGAGGGAACACAAGCAGGGGGAGCCGGAGAGGGAGAAGCAGGCUUCCCGCUGAGCAGGGAGCCCAAUGUGGGAUUCGAUCCCAGGACAAUGGGAUCAUGACCUGAGCCAAAGGCAGACGCUUAACGACCGAGCCACCCAGGCGCCCCAAAGAUUUUAUUUUUAAAGUAAUCUCUACACCCAACGUGGGGCUCAAACUUACAACCCCAAGAUCAAGCACUGCAUGUUCUACCCACUAAGCCAGCCAGACACCCACAGCAGGGUUUUUGAACCUUGGCCCUAUUUAUUUCAGGGGCUAAAUCUCACUUGUGGGGGUCUCUUCUGUGCAUUGUAGGAUAUUCAGCAUCAUCCCUAGCCUCUACCCACUAGAUGCCACUAGCACCACCACUCCUCACUUGUGACAACCAAAAAUAUCGACAUACAAAGGAAUAAAACUGGAACCUUAUCUUAUACCACACACAAAAAUCAACUCAAAAUGGAGUAAAUAUUUAAAUGUUAAGACCUGAGGGGCACCUGGCUGACUCAGCUGGUAGAGCAUGUGACGCUUGAUCUCAGGGUCAUGAGUUCAAGCCCCAUAUUGGUCGUAGAGUUUACUUAAAAAAAAUAAUAGUAAUAAUAAAAAAUAGAUAGACAGAUAAUGUUAAGACCUGAAGCUACAAAACUCCUAUAAGAAAACAUAGGAAAAAGCUUCUUGACAUUAGUCUUGACACUGAGGUCUUGGCUAUGACACCAACACAUCAAACUAAGAAAGCUUUUGCACAGCAAAGGAACAAUCAAAAUGAAAAGGCAACCUAUGGAAUGGGAGAAAAUAUUUACAAGCCAUAUAUCUCUGAUAAAGGGUUAUUAUACAAAAUAUAUAAAGAACUCCUACAACUCAAUAGCAAGAAAACAAGCUGAUUUUAAAAACAGACAAAGGAAUUGAACAGACAUUUCUCCAAAGAAUAACCAUCAAGUACCUUAAAAAAAAAUAACUGAUGAGGGAAAUGAAAUGCAAAUCAAAAGCACAAUAAGAUAUUAUCUCAUACUUGUUAGGAUAGCUAUUACGAAAAAAAGAUAAUAAAAGUUGGUGAGGGGGCGCCUGGGUGGCUCAGUUGGUUGAGCGACUGCCUUCGGCUCAGGUCAUGAUCCUGGAGUCCCCAGAUUGAGUCCCGCAUCAGGCUUCCUGCUCAGCAGGGAGUCUGCUUCUCCCUCUGACCCUCCUCCCUCUCAUAUGCUCUCUCUCUCUCAUUCUCACUCUCUCAAAUAAAUAAAUAAAAUCUUUAAAAAAAAAAAAAGUUGGUGAGGAUGUGAUGAAAAGAGAACCUUGUACACUGUUGGUGGCAAUGUAAAUAGGUUGAAGUUGCUACCAAAAACAGUAUGGCAGUUCCUCAAAAACUUAAAAAUAUAAUUACUUUUUUUACUAACCCCAAGUCUAAGUAUAUAUCCAAAGGUAUUAGAAUCAGGAUCUUAAAGAGGUACUGCACUCCCAUGUUUAUUGCAGCAUGAUUCACAAUAGCCAAGACAUGCAGACAAUGAAAAUGUCCAUCAUCAGAUAAAUGGGUAAACACAAUGUAGUAUUAUUUAGCCAUAAAAGAGAGGGAAGUCCUACAGUUUGUGACAACACGGAUGAAAGAGGAGGACUUUAUGCUCACUGAAAUAAGCCAGACACAGAGGACAAAUACUACAUAACACCACCUGAAUCUAAAAUAAUCAAACCUGGGCGCCUGGGUGGCUCAGUUGGUUAGGCGACUGCCUUCGGCUCAGGUCAUGAUCCUGGAGUCCCGGGAUCGAGUCCCACAUCAGGCUCCCUGCUCAGCGGGGAGUCUGCUUCUCCCUCUGACUCUCCCCACUCUCAUGCUCUCUAUCUCAUUCUCUCUCUCAAAUUAAAAAAAAAAAUCUUAAAAUAAAAUAGUCAAACCCACAGAAACAAGAGGGUAGAAUGGUGGUUCCCAGGGGCUAGGGUGAGGGGGAAACAAGAAGGUAUCAAAGAGUAAAACGUUUUACUUAUAUAAGAUAAAUAAAUCCUAGAAAUUGACUUCAUAGCAUAGUGCCAACAAUUAAUAAUACUAUAUCAUAUACUUAAUAUUUUAUGAAGAUCUUAUGUCCUCUCUCUAUAUAUAAUUUUAUAUAGAGUUUUACAUAUAUAUAAAUAUAGAGAGAGAGUUAUAUAUAGAGAGAGAGAGAGAGAGAAAGGGAGGGAGGGAAAGAGAGCAUGCAUGCAUGCAGGAACAAACGUUUAAAGGUUUAUGGCAUAGAUUGUGGGGAAUAUUUUCACAGAUAUAUACUUAUCUCCAAAUUCAUCAAGUUGUACACAAUGUGCAGCAAUCAUACCUCAAUAAAAUGGCUUAAUAAUAAGAUAAAUAAAAUGUAUGGAAACAGCCUCAGUUGGGGGUCACUACUUGAGCAGUUUCUUGAAAGAAUUACCCAUACAGUUGACCCUUGUCAGCAUGGGUUUGAAUUCUGUGGGUCACUUACACGCAGAUUUUUUUUCUACAAAUACAGUAAAUGUAUUUUCUCUUAUGAUUUUCUUAACACUUUUUCUUUAACUUACUUUAUUGCAAGAAUACAGUAUAUAAUACAACAUACAAAAUGCGUGUUAACCAAUUAUGUUACCUGUUUAGGCUUCCAGUCAACAGUAGGCUAUUAGAAAUUUGGGGGUGGGGGAGUCAAGUUAUACUCAGAUUUUUACAAAGGGUGGCUUUCCUCUAUGCCCACACAGAGCACUCUGUUCUCUCUUGCUCUUUUGUAAGAACAGUUCUUUUGAAUCAGGCACCCAGUCUUAUGGUCUCAUUUAACUUUAAUUACUCCUUUAAAGUCCUGUUCUCCAAAUGUAGUCACACUGGGUGUUAGGACUUCAACAUAUGAAGCUUGGGGCAUAAUUCAGUCCAUAACAUCUCUGAAAGUGCUCUUGCUAGGACCACCAGUAUUGCCAUUAUCAAAUCUAACAAAUCCUUUCUAGUCCUUUUUUUAGCAUUUGACACUGUUGACCACUUUUUCAUGAAAGAUCCUUAGCAACUGGAUUUCAUGACACCCUUUCAGAUGCUCUAACCAAACUAUCUCAUUAGCUGCUCCUGCUUACCCUCCAGUGUAACUCUUGGCUUCAGUCCUUUAAAUAGGAAUGUUUCUCACAGUUCUGGCUUAGACCUUCUCUUCACUCUUCUGUUCUCAGUGAUGCUUAUGGCUUAAAGUAUCAAUACUCUGAUGAUGACAGCCCUGAACAUUCUCGAGAGCCCUAGACUUAUUCACUUCGAUGUCCUGUAGACAUUCCACCAUUCUAUCGGCUCUCAAGCAAGAUACCUUCAGCAUUUUUUUACUCUAAAGAUGGUGCCAACAGUCACCUCAAUUCUGAAUCAGAAGCCUAGCCCAAUCCCAGAAUCUCUCAGCUGCUCCUCCUGUGUGCUUCUCAAUACCAAGGCACCUAGCACACUCUAAAGUGACUAUUUCCUUGCCUGACUGCCCACUAAUCUGGUAACUUCUUGAGGGCUCAGACUAUGCUCCCUGUUAUAUCCUCAGCCUCCAAAACACUGAAUGACAUAUUAGUAUUCAAUAUAAUCUUACUGAAUGGAUAGAUUCUCCAUUGGAAGUACCAGUGCAUACCAGUGGAUACCAUACUGCACCGCUUGUGUCCACCCACUCAUGAACCGCAGGCCCAACCCCACACGUGGUGUUAGAUGGAGGAGGGACAGUAAAUUACCCCUCCAAUUGAGAAGGUACUUUGAAACCAGAAAACAAAGCAAGCAACUCCCUACAGUUUACAAUUUUCUUUAGGGUAACUCACUGACAGGGAAUCAGAUGGUUUACGAUCCAGGCAUCCACACAACUAUUACCCAUAAAGUCCAGAACCUUAGUCCCCAGAUUUUAUAGAGCAAGGGGAUACAGAGGACAUUGUGAUGAGGUCAAAGGCUCUAACACACGUGUAGCAGAACUCAGAACGCAAUCUGUACGUGGUGGGGUGGGGGUGGGCAUAGAAAACUGUUAUCUCUAGUAGUUAUUUAAAAAAUUAACUACAUAGGGGCACCUGAGUGGCUCAGCUGGUUAAGCGUCUGCCUUUGACUCAGGUCAUGAUCCCAGGGUCCUGGGAUCGAGUCCUGCAUCAGGAUCCCUGCUCAGCGGGGAGCCUGCUUCUCCCUCUCCCGCUCCCGCUCCCCCAGCUUGUGGUCGUACGCGCGCUCUCUCUGUCCAAAUAAAUAAAAUCUUUUUUAAAAAAAUUAACUACAUAAUGGGGAUAUACCAUAGAAGAUAUAGCAAUUAUCAUUAGCACAAAAAAUGUACACCAUGGUUCAAAGGUGCGACAAGUAUGCCUGCUUCAUGUGUCAUGUCAUGAAAAUGAAAACAGUACAUUGGGUAUAAGCAGAUAACCUUCUCCAGCCAUAGGUUACAUAGGAUACAGGCCAGAACUGGAGUUAAAGCAGUCCUGAGCUGGGAAUAAUGCAAAGUCAUACAUCUUUAUGUAAAACCGGCUUUGUAAUACUGUCUUCCUUGCCUCCACAGCAUUGCUAUCACAUUUUACAUUUCACUAUGCUAUCUACAGAAGUAUUAGGUUAGUAUAAGGAGUUACAAAUACAGGAAGUAUAUGUUCACACAGCUUAACAUAGAGACAACACUGCUGUUCCCAUACAUAUACUCAUAUAUGCCUCCAAAGAGGCAUUGUUGGUCACACAACAAUAAAAUCCCACAUCUGAAUGCUACCAUGCCUUUUUCUUUCAAAUAUAGGGAGUCUUCAGCCACAUAUAAAUCUUUUUGGUACCUAGUCAGAUUUAAACUCUACCAUUUAUUGAGACACUGUUGAUUACAAGUUGACCAUCUAGGUCUUAGGUUUUAAAAGCAUGAAAAAUGGUUUCCCUGGGGCGCCUGAAUGGCUCAGUUGGUUAAGUGUCUGCCUUUGGCUCAGGUCACGAUCCCAGGGUCCUGGGAUCGAGCCCUACAUCGGGCUCCCUGCUCAGCGGGAAGCCUGCUUCUCCCUCUCUCAUUCCCCCUGCUUGCGUUCCCUCUCUCACAGUCUCUCUGUCAAAUAAAUAAAUAAAAUCUUUAAAAAAAAAAGUUUCCCUAAAGUUUCCUUUGUUUCAAGGAGUACAAUGGGUGGAACUACAGAAGACACUACUACAGACUACUCCUGGAUGGAUCCAUCAGUGAAGCUACUCUAUGCCUGGUUUCCAUUUAUACAAAAUGAGUAAGGGCCGUGAUAGGAUGGAAAAAACAUCCUAUACACUGAUGGGAAAUGACAGCAGAGGCAACUGAGACUUUGAGAAGACUAAAGAUACAGCUUCCCGUUUCCCAGGCUGCAGAAGUAAACAGUGCAGUGGUGCCAGUAACACCAGAUGCAUUUCCGUCACACAAAUUCACGU